This 22-nucleotide microRNA is filed under the name Ananas comosus (pineapple). RNAcentral's name for it is "microRNA s0224_c085". The record is from RNAcentral. Lineage: Eukaryota; Viridiplantae; Streptophyta; Magnoliopsida; Poales; Bromeliaceae.
AGGGUCCUCGACAGCGAUCAAC